This 228-nucleotide ribosomal RNA is filed under the name uncultured bacterium. RNAcentral describes it as "partial 16S ribosomal RNA". It matches the Rfam family "Bacterial small subunit ribosomal RNA", at positions 568 to 795 of the family's 1533-position model. The record is from RNAcentral.
UGCGUAGGUGGCCCGAUUAGUCAGAGGUGAAAGCCUAUAGCUUAACUAUAGAAUUGCCUUUGAUACUGUCGGGCUUGAAUUAGGACGAGGUCAGCGGAAUGUGACAUGUAGCGGUGAAAUGCAUAGAUAUGUCAUAGAACACCAAUUGCGAAGGCAGCUGACUAGACCUUGAUUGACACUGAGGCACGAAAGCGUGGGGAGCGAACAGGAUUAGAUACCCUGGUAGUC